CACGUAGGGCGCGAGCGUUGUCCGGAAUUAUUGGGCGUAAAGAGCUCGUAGGCGGCCUGUUGCGUCCGCUGUGAAAGCCCGGGGCUUAACCCCGGGUCGGCAGUGGAUACGGGCAGGCUAGAGGUAGGUAGGGGAGAAUGGAAUUCCCGGUGUAGCGGUGAAAUGCGCAGAUAUCGGGAGGAAUACCGGUGGCGAAGGCGGUUCUCUGGGCCUUACCUGACGCUGAGGAGCGAAAGCGUGGGGAGCGAACAGG
This 253-nucleotide ribosomal RNA is filed under the name uncultured bacterium. RNAcentral describes it as "partial 16S ribosomal RNA". It matches the Rfam family "Bacterial small subunit ribosomal RNA", at positions 524 to 776 of the family's 1533-position model. The record is from RNAcentral.